CUGAAUUCCAUCCUUCUUGCAAGCCUACAUGUUCAGCUUCUUCCUUACAACUUUGAGUUCCCAGAAGAUUUCAGAGGAAGUGACAUGAUCCUAAAUCAUGUUCUUGAUGGCAAAAUGUUACUUAGAAAGCCUAUUAUUUAAAUGGAAUAGUUUUUUAUGGUCAAAUAUGAGCAACAAUAAUCCUUUACCUGCAAACUUUAUUGAUGUCAGGUAUUUUGGAUGAAUAUACAUUUUUAGGAACCAAGAUUACUUUUCUUUAGAUUUGUUAUUUAAAACACAUUUAGAAAUAACUCUCGUUAUAUUUCAAACUGGCACAAAGAUUCUAUACAUACUAUCUCUUUUCUCUGGAGAUUUUCUUAAAUUUAAAGAGAUACAAAAAGGAAAUAUAGCUGCAAAAGAACAGAGGUGUUUGGGAUUGCCAAUAGAUGAAAGCUUUAA
Molecule: long non-coding RNA, 438 nt
Filed under: Pan troglodytes (chimpanzee)
Lineage: Eukaryota; Metazoa; Chordata; Mammalia; Primates; Hominidae
Description: long non-coding RNA NONPTRT011845
Source: RNAcentral